GCAGCCGCCGCGGAAUACGGAGGGGGCUAGCGUUGUUCGGAAUUACUGGGCGUAAAGCGCACGUAGGCGGCUUGGUAAGUUAGAGGUGAAAGCCUGGAGCUCAACUCCAGAAUUGCCUUUAAGACUGCCGAGCUAGCAGGUGAGAGAGGUAAGUGGAAUUCCGAUUGUAGAGGUGAAAUUCGUAGAUAUUCGGAAGAGCACCAGUGGCGAAGGCGGCUUACUGGCUCAUACUGGACGCUGAGGUGCGAAAGCGUGGGGAGCAAACAGGAUUAGAUACCCGUGUAGUCCCUGUCUCUUAUACA
Molecule: ribosomal RNA, 302 nt
Filed under: uncultured bacterium
Lineage: Bacteria
Description: partial 16S ribosomal RNA
Rfam family: Bacterial small subunit ribosomal RNA
Source: RNAcentral